CGUGUCGUGAGAUGUUGGGUUAAGUCCCGCAACGAGCGCAACCCUUAUUACUAGUUGCCAGCAUUCAGUUGGGCACUCUAGUGAGACUGCCGGUGACAAACCGGAGGAAGGUGGGGACGACGUCAAAUCAUCAUGCCCCUUAUGACCUGGGCUACACACGUGCUACAAUGGAUGGUACAACGAGUCGCGAAACCGCGAGGUUUAGCUAAUCUCUUAAAACCAUUCUCAGUUCGGACUGUAGGCUGCGACUCGCCUACACGAAGUCGGGAUCGCUAGUAAUCGCGGAUCAGCAUGCCGCGGUGAAUACGUUCCCGGGCCUUGUACACACCGCCCGUCACACCAUGAGAGUUUGUAACACCCAAAGCCGGUGGGGUAACCUUUUAGGAGCUAGCCGUCUAAGGUGGGACAGAUGAUUAGGGU
This 420-nucleotide ribosomal RNA is filed under the name uncultured bacterium. RNAcentral describes it as "bacterial SSU rRNA". It matches the Rfam family "Bacterial small subunit ribosomal RNA", at positions 1061 to 1481 of the family's 1533-position model. The record is from RNAcentral.